CUUUGCAUAGUCCUGGCACAUGACAGGUGUCCAGUGUUCCCUGCCCUGAAGAGGCCCCUUGUCUCGCCGAGGCUGGGGCACGGGUUUCCAAGAGAGAAGAACAGCAGUUAGACUCUGGAGAUUAGCACAUCUUGAAGAACAGCUGGAGUCUGAAGCAGGGCUGAACUCCUGAGUUGUCUUGGAGGUGACAGUGAGUCCCCUUUCCUUGGAGGAUAUAAACAAGUCCUUCUCCAAUGUUGGCAUGUUGGGAAAGGCUCACAUGGCCUAUGUCCCUCUGACCAGCCAUAAUCAGCAUCAGGAAGGCCAGGUCAACAGGGAGGUCUCUGUGUGGAAAGGCCAAAUCUGGAUGGCUCCCACUACAGAUCUCCUCCCCACCAUGCCACCCCUGGAGAUGGAGAAAAGAUCCACUUACAAUAAGGACGGCUGCGAUGGGGAUGGCCGUGUUCAUGAAAACUGCAGAGGAAGAACAAGGGAUGCAGUAUGAGGCCAGUCACAUUGACUGACUGUGAUUCAGACUUCUGAGCACAGAAUGCUAAAAGAGAUGGCAAACACAUCUUUCACUUAAAUGCCUUCCAUGGCUCCCUCCUGAAGCACAACACAGAUGGUCCUGCAGGAGCUAGUCUUGUCGCCUUUCUUCACCAAGUUCUGCAGGAGAAUGGGACACACCAUCAUCUCUCUCUGGAGGCCUUUGUGCCUGCUCACCUGGCUGACUCAUGGUCAACCUAAGGGAACCAGCAGUGGGUUCCACCUCUGAUAGGCCUUCCCUGACACCCACUGCCCCUGAGACUAGAUUGGAUACAACUUGUAACUCUUAUGGGUGAUAGAAUACCCUUUUCUGUUCUUGUCACUUAUGACACUAAGCUUCUCCAGUAGACUGUAAGCAAUGUGUGGGCUAGGACCAAAGUGUUCUCACCUAAUGCCUAGGCAGAGCCUAGCUCAUGGGAGAUGCUUAUGAAUAUUUGUUAAAUAAGUGAAAAAAACCAAAAGACCCAGGUCAGGCAAGUAACACCAAAAAAGGGGGGGCACAGAUAGAGGGGCAUUUGGAACUGACUCUGUGGCUCUGACCACAUGCACAGCUGCAGUUCAUGGACACAGCCAUCCACAAGACUGUGAAUGCCUGAACCAUGCCCACUCCUUCUAAUAUCCACUUCAUUCCAUGCCCAGGGCUUCCAUAAAGCCUAGCACAGAGAGAGGGCCCUGGAAUUGGUGCUGCAAAAAGGUCAAAAUGAACUGGAGGCCUAUUGGUUGGUUGACUGAUAGGACUAUGCAAAUGCCUUUGUCUCCUCUGCAAAGCCUGUUCUCAAAACAAAAACAAAAACAAAAAACAAAAAACAAACAAAAACAGCAACAAAAACCAGAAGCACCUAGAGUUCUGCUGCUUCUGUAAGGAAAUGAGGACUGAGCUGACUUCUAAAGAGACUAACCACAGCACCUGCCUUUAGCUUUCUCCCACUUUGUCUUCUACUCACUGAAAUCCUCUCUACCAUUCAAGGUGCAGCCCAAGCCUUUUCUAUGUUAAUCUCUGUGUAACCUCUUUGGCCACUUGGGCUUCUUUCUCUGUGCUCUGCCAUUUAUACUGGCAGAGUAUACUGGCUAAGAUCCUCCAUGAGUCAUUGCACCUUGCUGAGCUUCUGUCCUUUCUGUUAUACAAUGGGACAGUAGAGCCACACACCUCACAAGUCGUAAUGAGGAUUAAGUGCCUGUCAGACUUGCUAGGCAGCCAGCACAGAGCUGGCCACACAGUUUGAUACUUAUUGUCACAUGGUUCUAUGCAUGUGCCCUCUGACUUCUCAGAGAGCAUAAACCAAAAAGAAUGCAGAACAUAUCUUAUGGUUCCCUGCAUCAUCCUGGUGCUCAGCACAGGAUAUACACCUCGCUUAGCAUCCACCACGUCACUUACAUCUGUUUUCCUUCAAAAAGAAAUAUAGAUUCUGAUGUUGGGAAAACUGUGUCUCUUUGCUUUUCAGUCUUCUGCGCCACCAGGAUGCCACAUAUGGGCUGUCAUCGACAUUGACAGUGAGACCAUCAGAUAGAGUAUCAGAGGCAAUCUUGUCUGCCCUGCAGGCUUGAGUGCAUGGCCAGUCUGGAUGACCAGACUGAAAGCCCAGCAGGCAUCCUCGGCUUGGGCCCCAUCAGGAAACAUGACUCCCAGGUUCUUCUGUGUUGCCAGGACCCCAUGACUGGCGCCAGGGGUGAGAAUAAGAGAUUCCCAUUACCUCAGCCUAAUGACCUGUGUCUUGAUCCCAGUAACAGGAGGAGGAAGUCCAGGAAGAGGCAAAUGAGAACACACUGCAAACAUGUGCCCAUGACUGGGCAGUACCCCAACACACCCAUC
Non-coding RNA from Ictidomys tridecemlineatus (thirteen-lined ground squirrel), 2335 nucleotides. The record is from RefSeq and is a predicted model, not a curated record. NCBI's taxonomy places the organism in Eukaryota, Metazoa, Chordata, Mammalia, Rodentia, Sciuridae.